RNAcentral lists this ribosomal RNA (489 nucleotides) under uncultured bacterium. Its description in RNAcentral is "bacterial SSU rRNA". It matches the Rfam family "Bacterial small subunit ribosomal RNA", at positions 29 to 507 of the family's 1533-position model. The record is from RNAcentral.
AUGAACGCUAGCGACAGGCUUAACACAUGCAAGUCGAGGGGCAGCAUGGUCUUAGCUCGCUAAGGCCGAUGGCGACCGGCGCACGGGUGAGUAACACGUAUCCAACCUGCCGUCUACUCUUGGACAGCCUUCUGAAAGGAAGAUUAAUACAAGAUGGCAUCAUGAGUUCACAUGUUCACAUGAUUAAAGGUAUUCCGGUAGACGAUGGGGAUGCGUUCCAUUAGGUAGUUGGUGAGGUAACGGCUCACCAAGCCUACGAUGGAUAGGGGAACUGAGAGGUUGGUCCCCCACACUGGUACUGAGACACGGACCAGACUCCUACGGGAGGCAGCAGUGAGGAAUAUUGGUCAAUGGGCGGGAGCCUGAACCAGCCAAGUCGCGUGAAGGAAGAAGGAUCUAUGGUUCGUAAACUUCUUUUGCAGGGGAAUAAAGUGCGGGACGUGUCCUGUUUUGUAUGUACCCUGAGAAUAAGGAUCGGCUAACUCCGUG